This is a long non-coding RNA of Sinocyclocheilus grahami, 684 nucleotides long. RefSeq lists it as uncharacterized. NCBI's taxonomy places the organism in Eukaryota, Metazoa, Chordata, Actinopteri, Cypriniformes, Cyprinidae. The transcript is spliced from 3 exons. The record is from RefSeq and is a predicted model, not a curated record.
UCUUGUGGAAGUACGUCAUUAUGAACAAGAGAUAGGGGUUGGUGCAUUCUCCUGUUGUGUUUUAGCAGUUAGGUUUUUUCAGCAACAUGCUAGUGGUCGUGGUCUUGCGGGUGAGCGACCAUUCAUAUUGCUACAUGCAGGUGUAAUUGCACAUCCAGGGGUUUCCAGUAACUUGGUUGGAGACCAAUGUACAUCAGGGACGUGAUUGCACUGCUGCUUUGUUUUUAGUGUUUGUUGGGUGACCAUUUUAACUUUGUCUGGCUUGGUCUUAUUUUGGUUAAUUGUGUGUGUGUGUGUGGUUUUUUUUUUUUGCUUUUAAUCCUUCAUGAGCAGCCAUUCAUUAACGUGUGUGUGAGUCAGCUGGGAGGCAAGUAAGAUAUUUGGCCUUGGUCUGCCAUUUCAUUCCUCCCGUUGGUGCAUAUGACUGCUCAUUUUAAUUUUAGUUUCUUGUUGUUUUUCACUGAUUGUACUAGUAGUAGAAUCUCUGUGUGUGUGGGCUCCAUUUGAGUAGAUUGUUCUGUUGUGGUAGAGAAGUGAGAAUUUUGUAUUUUUGAAUGCGUUUAUUUUGAAGUUUGUAACAGUUGUCAUUUAGGAGUAGAGACUUUUUUAAAGUGGGGGUUGCAGUCUUUUAGCGUGUCCACCUGGAGUGCGGUGCUUAACCAAUUGUAUUGCUUUCACAACUGU